RNAcentral lists this RNase P RNA (373 nucleotides) under Desulfohalobium retbaense DSM 5692. Its description in RNAcentral is "Bacterial RNase P class A". It matches the Rfam family "Bacterial RNase P class A". From Rfam's summary of the family: Ribonuclease P (RNase P) is a ubiquitous endoribonuclease, found in archaea, bacteria and eukarya as well as chloroplasts and mitochondria. Its best characterised activity is the generation of mature 5'-ends of tRNAs by cleaving the 5'-leader elements of precursor-tRNAs. The record is from Rfam by way of RNAcentral. Lineage: Bacteria; Pseudomonadati; Thermodesulfobacteriota; Desulfovibrionia; Desulfovibrionales; Desulfohalobiaceae.
GGAGUUGGGCAGACCGUCGCUGCCGGUCGCGUUCGCGCGGCCGGGGGAGGAAAGUCCGGGCUCCGCAGGGCAGGGCGCUGGGGAAAUCCCAGAGGGAGUGAUCCCUGGACAGUGCCACAGAAAACAGACCGCCCGUACCUUGGCUCGCGCCAGGAAGUGCGGGUAAGGGUGAAACGGUGGGGUAAGAGCCCACCAGUUGUCGCGGUGACGCGGCAAGCUCGGUAAACCCCGCCCGGAGCAAGACCAAAUAGGGGAGUGUUUGAGGUUUGCCCGACCGAAACUCCCGGGUAGGUCGCUUGAGGCAGGGAGUAAUCUCUGUCCUAGAGGAAUGACGGUCCUCGAUACAAAACCCGGCUUACGCCCAACUCCAUUU